This 4597-nucleotide unclassified non-coding RNA is filed under the name Leishmania donovani. Its description in RNAcentral is "gene:LdHU3.13.1130(CDS-product:Cryptococcal_manno syltransferase_1_putative)". The record is from RNAcentral. Lineage: Eukaryota; Euglenozoa; Kinetoplastea; Trypanosomatida; Trypanosomatidae.
UCGUUGCGGUACGCAGUACGCGCACGGCCGCGCAUAAUCUGUCACAGCAGCCGAAAACAAAGACAAGUGUUCUCGCUGCAGCUCCCUUGCGGUAAUUCGUCAUCCUUACUGAAGUGUCUGCGUGGUAAGCGCCCAGGCAGCUCUCUGAGCGUGCCUACUCGUCGAGUCGCACGCAUUCGCCUGUUUUUUUUUUCGUUGGUUCGAAUUCGUUUUUUUGUGGCUCCUCCGCUGGUUACCUUCGCCUCCCCCUCUCCCCUCACCCUCCUCUGUUAGCCAUGUAUUAUGACAGCCGGCUGCGCCAUGCCGCCCUGCUCGUCCUCUUCGGGCUGCUGCUAAUCAUCGCCGCCCUGUACGACAACGUCUUCGAUGACUUCGAGAACUCGCACGCCGCUGAGCUGCAGGAGAUGCGUGCGGAGGCGCACGGCGUCGGGACGCUCCUGUUUGCGUCUCGUGCGCCGCACUGGCGAGCCGCGCCGCUAGCACUCAACCGGCUCGAAAUCCCGUACGUGGCGGACAUCUUCGUCUCCGAGUACAUCAACCGCACCGUAUCACCACGCCUCAGUGACGUGCGUGAUGUCCGUACCCUGACGUCGAAGGACUUGUUUGAGCAGGUGCAGCUGUGGCGCAGACCGGGCAGACGCGCCGAGCAAAUCUCGAAACUCGUCGACUCGUUGACGGAGAACGAGAGGGUGGCUGCGCGUGCGGAGGCGGUGCGCCAACGUCAGCACAAGUCGAAGACGCGGCGCUCUGCCGAGUCGCUGCUCAGCCUCUUGGCCGGUGGUGGUAGAGGGCAUAGCCACGACGACGACGACGCCGCGGAUUCUGGAGCGGCCGAUGACGUGGUGAAGGUGCGCUACCCAAGCAGCCUUGUUCUUCAUUAUCACGGCUCGUCAGACUUGUUCUCUCUCACCUCCAACAACGUCCAGCUGGUGCCGUACCCGUUGGUCCCUCCGCCAGUCACGACGCGGCUCAGUGAGGCGGCGCCGCCGCCGCACGCAGACGUGAUUGGCAGGAAGGAGUUCACUGGCGAGGAUGCCGACGAGAGGACAGCAGCGGCAGCAGCCAACGACACGGACACUGAUUCCACCAUCACAAUCACUAUUCCAAAAGGCAAGGUGCGCUACGCAGUGCCCCGUCGUACGGCCCCGCACACGCCGACACACGGCUGGGAUCACUUCUACAUUGCCCUGAACCUGUGGAAGAACGAGGAGGUGCUGCCUGACCUUACGGAGGCACUGAUCGCCUUUCUGGAGGAAGAGGUGAAGCCCUUCUUUGAUCUCGCCACCUCUGUCGUGGUCUCCAUCUACUCGAACAUAUCGCCCGAUAGGACGGCCGAGCUCAUCACGACACUGCUGAUCCCGCGGCUGCACGCUGCCGGUGUGCGGACCGUCUACGCAACAACGGAAGGCGCGUGUCUCGGCUACGUGGAGCGUCAGUCCUUCCACGAGCGUAUCGAGUGGAUGGCGUGCAUCCGGAACAAGGCGCUCGAGCCGCUCUAUGAGAAGGGCAUGAGCCUGUUCGAAAGUUCGCAGCAGCAGCAGCAGCAGGCCCAGGACAGCGCCGACGGUCUUGUCGUGCUCUUUUUCAAUGAUGUCAUCUUCCGUCCGCAGGACAUCACGGCGCUGCUGGAGAGUCGUGCUGAGGCACAGAUCGCGGCGAGCACGCGACCACACGGCUGGGUGUCCUCCGUCACAAAGACAAACCAUGAGCCUGCAGAUGCUGGCGUCAAGGACGACGACGGUGAUUCGCGGAAGCAUCCAGUGGGCACAGCGUCGACGCCUCCGUCUGGUUCCACGUCAGCAGCGACCGGCACAACCUUCGACAUGGCAUGUGGUAUGGACUUUUACGCAACCUUCUAUGACACAUGGGUCACGCGCGAUCGUCUUGGCAAGCCCUUCGGGGCGCAGAUGCCCUAUUCCGACGACCACUCCACCCAAGAGGCAUUCUACCGCAUCUUCAAGCACGAGCGCACCGGCGACCAUGCACCGGAGGCGUCAGCCAUCCCGGUCAAGUGCUGCUGGAACGGCGUCGCUGCCAUCCGCGGCCGCUUCUUCCUCGCCCCGACCCCACCGCAUCGCCUCGGCUUUCCCGUGCGGGACGCAGCGGAGACGACAGCGCGGACCCCGUCGGCGGCAUCGUCUGCUCCGGCCGCCACCGGAGGCGCACGCAGCGAGGCUGCUGCGCACCACCCUGAUGUGCUGCAGCGUCCCUCGGGUGCGGUCUACGACCGCAUCGGCGACGUGCACGACCUGCUCAACACAACAACGCUGGUGCACUACUACACACGGGUGCUCGCCCGCCGUCUGCAAUCGGUGUGUGUGUCGUGGAGCUUGAUGCGCCGCGAGAUAGCUAGGCUGGCAGACAUUCCGUUCUACAAGCCAGAGACGUGCGACAGCAGCAGUAGCUUCGAGAGUCUCCUGCAUACCGUGGACUACGAGAUGCGCCGAUCCUCGGCAGUCGGCGCGGACUGGGUGCAGCUGCGGCUACAGCUUGAGAGCCGCACGCUCCUCCUCAGCACCGCGCCGGACCUGAUGCGUCUCGAGGAAUCAGUCGAGAAGGCAGAGAACGAAGGCGAGGUGGAGCCUGCUGCGCCGGUGGUUCUGCGCGUGGAGGAAGACAGUGUCUACUACCGUGUGCGGCAUCUGUCAGUGCGGUUUCGCCACGCUUUCACCCCCUCCUACGGCGCCACCGUCGCUGGCCACGCGCUGGUGCGUGAUGAAGUCUGUCUCGCUUCGGAGUGUCUCCUGAUCUGCCAAGACGUAAUGCACGCUGCCCUCCUGCAGGACAGGCGAGCGCCGAUCAUCCUGCUCAACCCCCACGUGCGCGUUGCGUACAACCUCGAGGACUUCAACCGCGUCACGAAGCAGACGUGGUUCUUCGAGCACCCGCACGUAUACUGGGUCUGGACGCUGGCGCGGCGAAUGCAGCUGUGGUGGUCGCCCUCGCCGUCGUCCAGUGUACAGGACAAGGGUGCCGGUGCAGGCGGGUCGCGCGAGCUCGGCAACGCCACGUCGGCGAUGGACGACUGGCUGAGCACCGCCUCAGUUGCUGCCGGGCCAGGGACGGUCAUGCGCGGUACUCAGAAGCUCAGCGUGCAGGACGGGGCUGGCCGUGUCAUAGCCACUGGCCUCAUCGACAUCCCCACGCUGACCCGAAUGGACUGCCAGGGGUCCGCGGAGGGCUCUAUUCGGGUAGCGAUGGGCGCCUUCUUCCCUGUUGUGCGACUGGGCCAGUUCCUGCUCGCCGCGCUGCUGCUGCGGUGGUUGUGCUGGCAAGUGCAUGUGGAUGUGCUGGUUGCGGCGCUGUCAGACGGAGGCGGCGCGGCAUGGACCUACUCGGUGGAGGCGCAGUGGUGGCGCGCUCUCUACUGCGCCGUGUGGUACUCAUCGCUUGCGCAGCGGCUGAGGUGGCUCUCAGGUGGCGUUGCUGCAGGUGAGCGCGACGCCGGCGACGUUGUCUCUGGCGAAUGGGAAGGGGAGAGAACCGUAAGUGGCCGCGGCUAUGGUCGCGCAAGGCAUCCGGUCACUUCCUCGUCAUCGGCCCUUCUACAGCAGCUGCAUCGACUGCAGUCACACCGCUUCGUGAAGAACUCCCACGCGCGCUCGUGCGUCGGCGCCGCGUGGCGAGCCGCGUUCUUUGUCGCGCAGACGCUGGUGUGGCUGCUCAGCUCGCUGUGUUGCGUCCGGUUCUGGUUUGGCUGGUGCCGAGCACCGCCGGCCCUUACCAUCCCGACUGGGUGUUCGGGCUCCAAGGCGCGUCAACUGUGGCCGCACAGAAGCAGCGCUUCGCCCGCCAAGUCCCACUAUCCACGGGAGCCGUCGCGUGCAGUGGUGUCCGCAGAUGCCCUCCGGGUCGGUCCUGCUGUCGCAGGAGAGAUGGCUGGCUGCACGGCCACCCGUCGCAGUGAGGGAACGGCACGCCCCACCUCCUGCACGUUGUUCAUCCCGCGCAGCUGCACAGCGAGCGGCGGCGGUGGUAAUGGCACGGAGGUGCAGCGGCAACACCACGGCGUGUCACAGGCGGCCACGAACGUCGCGAGCGCUACCCCGGCAGGCGCCAUAGAAAGCCCCAUGAACUCGGUGCAUCGGCAGUACGAACUCACGCACGGAAGCGCCACCGCCUCGAACCACCAGAUGCGGUCGCGCAACGCCAACUAUGGUGGUCGGUCGUGGCUGCAGUUCGGCGUCAUUCCUUGAGCGCAUCCUUGCCGCACUUGCCGCGCACCCCAAUCGGCCUGUCGACCAUACCGACGGCAGUGCAACCGCGAUGGCGGCUAUGUAAUGAGUCACAAGUUUAUAGUGUAUUCCGCUGAGGCAGUUCCUCGGCGACGAUGAUAAUGAGGGGAGAGCACAGUAGAAGUUCUGCCGCGUGGCUGAAGAGGGAGAGUGAGGUAUGGAGGGGGGAGGCGUAGUACGCUGCCAUCCACACCACGACGGCGCCUCCCCUCGCUCUCCCUGCGCAGACAUGCACACUUCUCUUCGCUGCUGGCCUCUGUUAUUUCUUCGCUUCAUCUCUGCCUUUCCUGCUAAGGGGAGAAGUGUGUGCGCGGUCGCUCAACACGGUAGACGUGUCGCAAGCAGGCGCACGCACGAGACGG